GAAUGUUGGCAUGAGUAGCGAGAUGUGGGUGAGAAUCCCACAGGCCGUAAACCCAAGGUUUCCAGGGGAAGGUUCGUCCGCCCUGGGUUAGUCGGGACCUAAGCUGAGGCCGAAAGGCGUAGGUGAUGGACAACAGGUUGAUAUUCCUGUACUACCGAUAACCGGUUGAGAGAGGGGAUGACACAGUAGGAUAAGCUAAGCACACUGUUGGUUAUGUGUGCCCAAGCAUUGAGGCAGUCAAAGUAGGCAAAUCCGCUUUGAUAAUGCUGGGAUGUGAUGGGGAGCGAAAUUUAGUAGCGAAGUAGCUGAUUUCACACUGUCAAGAAAAGUCUCUAUCGAGGUUAAAGGUACCCGUACCGCAAACCGACACAGGUGGGUGAGGAGAGUAUCCUAAGGCCAGCGAGAGAACUGUUGUUAAGGAACUCGGCAAAAUGACCCCGUAACUUAGGGAUAAGGGGUGCCACCAUCA
RNAcentral lists this ribosomal RNA (469 nucleotides) under Clostridioides difficile. Its description in RNAcentral is "partial 23S ribosomal RNA". It matches the Rfam family "Bacterial large subunit ribosomal RNA", at positions 1292 to 1759 of the family's 2925-position model. The record is from RNAcentral. Lineage: Bacteria; Bacillati; Bacillota; Clostridia; Peptostreptococcales; Peptostreptococcaceae.